GCUGAUGGUAUUAGCUGUUGGACACAAAGUAAUUAAGUAAUGCGGUAGAGACAGUAUUGAUUGAAGAUAAUAUAACAUCAGAAAACCCGUCAGUUUCCAGGAAAUGUGAAAUAUUGUUCGAAGCAAGCACACAACAGUUUCUUACUUAUCGACAAAUGUAAACAUAUAUCAUUGACAUCCACUGUACAUUUUGCGUAAUGACAAACGUAAACGUCUGAGUGAAUGCCCAAACGCACAGAAGGGUAUUUGAAAUAUAGGAGGUAACGUUGGUUACAGAAAACUCGGAUCAUUUGGGCUAUCAUAUUAGGAUGGAAGUCACACAUCUUGGAGAUUUGCAAUCAGUGAACACUGUUUUGAGUGGAAGUAGCAAAAUGCAACUUUGUUAACAUGUGGAUUGUCAUUUUCAGUGACAAGAGUUUAAAAAAUGAAAGAAAUUAAGAAUCUAUUAGAGAAAAGUGAAAACAUCCCUGCAUGGAAUUUAUCAGUUUAAAUGAUUAUGAUUCAUUACUUGAAGAUAGUGGUCUAUCAGAUACUGUAGUACCAAAUGAUGUACAGCCAAAUACUACUGCACUGUACAACUGAGGACUGUGACAGUGUAAUGAAGCAGAACAUUAAGUGAAUUUAAUAAAAAAGGCAUGUAAAGGGUGUGGUCCAGAUUGUGAUACAAUCUGAGCUUUCAGUAGUUAGCAAAGGAUAAUGGUGAAUUUGAUGUCAUUCUAAUUACUUACACACUGAUGAGCCAAAACAUUACAACUAUUGUGAGAUAGAAUGCUGCAUGGUGGUGGUGAUAGUGGUGGUGGUCGUUGUGGUGUGGGCAUGUGAUGUAAGGAAAGUAAACAGUGUGGUCGGAAGUUCCCAUUACAAACUUCCAGGACACAUAGAGGGUAGAGAGUACAGAACAUUUUGAAUAGUAACCCAUGUCCAGAAUCGUAUCGUUUCCGUUCUACGACAGUUUCAAUUCAGAUGUCUCAAAAGUUCCCUGUCCUGGUAUGCAACAGGGUAGACACAACGAUGUGUACUACAUCAAACGAUCCUCAGAUGUCCUUUAUUGUCCACUUUGCUGUGAGACCGAGUCAAUACCUGUGCAUCACUGACAGAGGAAACAUGGUGCAGUACACGUUUGCGGAAUACACAGACACGCUCCUUGUGUAUAGCGAAGUUGGGGGUUACGGAAGAGCUGCUAGUUGAACGUUUUCCACACUGUCACACUCCAUCACACAAACUGUUUGCCCAAGUUACACAACGGCUAUGAGAAACAGGUACCUUCACUGUGAGGAGGCAGGACUGUGGUGCUCCACGGCGACGCUGCACUCCCGAAUUUGAAGAAGGUGUACUGUGUUGCAUUGAAGAUAGCCCGUCAACGAUUUCGCGCACAAUUGAACAAUUGCUGUUUUGUCUAAAACUGACAUGGUGAGACCGUGGCUGUAUACAAUUAAUGUAGGUCAGUUCUUACAAAGAAGAAAACAGCAACCAGCCACUAUUAACACUGCUAUUGAUUUAGGUAAAUAGCGCUGUUACUGGUUUCAAACUGGCAAUUUCAUCAUCAGAUGGCUGUUCACAUGAUUUUAAAGAUACACCUUACAUUAUCGUCCAUUUUUAAUUUUUAUUAUUCCACUUUGGCGAAGUAUUUUUGAUGUGUUGUUGCCCUACGGUAGAGAAAC
Molecule: long non-coding RNA, 1661 nt
Filed under: Schistocerca americana (American grasshopper)
Lineage: Eukaryota; Metazoa; Arthropoda; Insecta; Orthoptera; Acrididae
Description: uncharacterized LOC124554701, transcript variant X1
Source: RNAcentral